UACGUAGGGGGCAAGCGUUGUCCGGAAUCAUUGGGCGUAAAGAGCGUGUAGGCGGCUCGGUAAGUCCGCUCUGAAAGCCCGGGGCUCAACCCCGGGAGGCGGGCGGAUACUGUCGAGCUAGAGUCCGGAAGAGGCGAGUGGAAUUCCUGGUGUAGCGGUGAAAUGCGCAGAUAUCAGGAGGAACACCAAUGGCGAAGGCAGCGCGCUGGGACGGUACUGACACUGAGACGCGAAAGCGUGGGGAGCAAACAGG
RNAcentral lists this ribosomal RNA (253 nucleotides) under uncultured bacterium. Its description in RNAcentral is "partial 16S ribosomal RNA". It matches the Rfam family "Bacterial small subunit ribosomal RNA", at positions 524 to 776 of the family's 1533-position model. The record is from RNAcentral.